Molecule: ribosomal RNA, 254 nt
Filed under: uncultured bacterium
Lineage: Bacteria
Description: partial 16S ribosomal RNA
Rfam family: Bacterial small subunit ribosomal RNA
Source: RNAcentral
UACGGGGGGAGCAAGCGUUGUUCGGAUUUACUGGGCGUAAAGGGCGCGUAGGCGGCCAGCACAAGUCAGUUGUGAAAUCUCCGAGCUUAACUCGGAAAGGUCAACUGAUACUGUGCGGCUAGAGUGCGGAAGGGGCAACUGGAAUUCUUGGUGUAGCGGUGAAAUGCGCAGAUAUCGGGAGGAACACCAAUUGCGAAGGCAGCUCGCUGGGACGUUACUGACGCUGAGACGCGAAAGCGUGGGGAGCAAACAGG